CCUGAAUACAUAGGGUACUGAAGGCAGACCCGGGGAACUGAAACAUCUAAGUACCCGGAGGAAGAGAAAGCAAACGCGAUUUCCUGAGUAGCGGCGAGCGAAACGGAAUUAGCCCAAACCAAGAGGCUUGCCUCUUGGGGUUGUAGGACACUCAACAUGGAGUUACAAAGGAACGGGGUAAAUGAAGCGACCUGGAAAGGUCCGUCGAAGAAGGUAAAAACCCUGUAGUUGAAACUUCGUUCCCUCCUGAGUGGAUCCUGAGUACGGCGGGACACGAGAAAUCCCGUCGGAAGCAGGGAGGACCAUCUCCCAAGGCUAAAUACUCCCUAGUGACCGAUAGUGAACCAGUACCGUGAGGGAAAGGUGAAAAGCACCCCGGAAGGGGAGUGAAAUAGAUCCUGAAACCGUGUGCCUACAAGUAGUCAAAGCCCGUUAAUGGGUAAUGGCGUGCCUUUUGUAGAAUGAACCGGCGAGUUACGAUUUCAUGCGAGGUUAAGUUGAUGAGACGGAGCCGCAGCGAAAGCGAGUCUGAAUAGGGCGAAUGAGUAUGAGGUCGUAGACCCGAAACCAGGUGAUCUACCCAUGUCCAGGGUGAAGUUCAGGUAACACUGAAUGGAGGCCCGAACCCACGCACGUUGAAAAGUGCGGGGAUGAGGUGUGGGUAGCGGAGAAAUUCCAAUCGAACCUGGAGAUAGCUGGUUCUCUCCGAAAUAGCUUUAGGGCUAGCCUCAAGAUGAGAGUAUUGGAGGUAGAGCACUGAUUGGACUAGGGGCCCCCAACGGGUUACCGAAUUCAGUCAAACUCCGAAUGCCAAAUACUUAUUCUUGGGAGUCAGACUGCGAGUGAUAAGAUCCGUAGUCGAAAGGGAAACAGCCCAGACCACCAGCUAAGGUCCCAAAGUAUACGUUAAGUGGAAAAGGAUGUGGAGUUGCUUAGACAACCAGGAUGUUGGCUUAGAAGCAGCCACCAUUUAAAGAGUGCGUAAUAGCUCACUGGUCGAGUGACUCCGCGCCGAAAAUGUACCGGGGCUAAACGUAUCACCGAAGCUGUGGAUUGACACCGUAUGGUGUCGAUGGUAGGAGAGCGUUCUAAGGGCGUUGAAGUCAGACCGGAAGGACUGGUGGAGCGCUUAGAAGUGAGAAUGCCGGUAUGAGUAGCGAAAGAAGGGUGAGAAUCCCUUCCACCGAAU
This 1189-nucleotide ribosomal RNA is filed under the name Peribacillus simplex. RNAcentral's name for it is "bacterial LSU rRNA". It matches the Rfam family "Bacterial large subunit ribosomal RNA", at positions 157 to 1342 of the family's 2925-position model. Lineage: Bacteria; Bacillati; Bacillota; Bacilli; Caryophanales; Bacillaceae. The record is from RNAcentral.